RNAcentral lists this ribosomal RNA (2529 nucleotides) under Escherichia coli. RNAcentral's name for it is "partial 23S ribosomal RNA". It matches the Rfam family "Bacterial large subunit ribosomal RNA", at positions 296 to 2819 of the family's 2925-position model. Lineage: Bacteria; Pseudomonadati; Pseudomonadota; Gammaproteobacteria; Enterobacterales; Enterobacteriaceae. The record is from RNAcentral.
AGCCCAGAGCCUGAAUCAGUGUGUGUGUUAGUGGAAGCGUCUGGAAAGGCGCGCGAUACAGGGUGACAGCCCCGUACACAAAAAUGCACAUGCUGUGAGCUCGAUGAGUAGGGCGGGACACGUGGUAUCCUGUCUGAAUAUGGGGGGACCAUCCUCCAAGGCUAAAUACUCCUGACUGACCGAUAGUGAACCAGUACCGUGAGGGAAAGGCGAAAAGAACCCCGGCGAGGGGAGUGAAAAAGAACCUGAAACCGUGUACGUACAAGCAGUGGGAGCACGCUUAGGCGUGUGACUGCGUACCUUUUGUAUAAUGGGUCAGCGACUUAUAUUCUGUAGCAAGGUUAACCGAAUAGGGGAGCCGAAGGGAAACCGAGUCUUAACUGGGCGUUAAGUUGCAGGGUAUAGACCCGAAACCCGGUGAUCUAGCCAUGGGCAGGUUGAAGGUUGGGUAACACUAACUGGAGGACCGAACCGACUAAUGUUGAAAAAUUAGCGGAUGACUUGUGGCUGGGGGUGAAAGGCCAAUCAAACCGGGAGAUAGCUGGUUCUCCCCGAAAGCUAUUUAGGUAGCGCCUCGUGAAUUCAUCUCCGGGGGUAGAGCACUGUUUCGGCAAGGGGGUCAUCCCGACUUACCAACCCGAUGCAAACUGCGAAUACCGGAGAAUGUUAUCACGGGAGACACACGGCGGGUGCUAACGUCCGUCGUGAAGAGGGAAACAACCCAGACCGCCAGCUAAGGUCCCAAAGUCAUGGUUAAGUGGGAAACGAUGUGGGAAGGCCCAGACAGCCAGGAUGUUGGCUUAGAAGCAGCCAUCAUUUAAAGAAAGCGUAAUAGCUCACUGGUCGAGUCGGCCUGCGCGGAAGAUGUAACGGGGCUAAACCAUGCACCGAAGCUGCGGCAGCGACGCUUAUGCGUUGUUGGGUAGGGGAGCGUUCUGUAAGCCUGCGAAGGUGUGCUGUGAGGCAUGCUGGAGGUAUCAGAAGUGCGAAUGCUGACAUAAGUAACGAUAAAGCGGGUGAAAAGCCCGCUCGCCGGAAGACCAAGGGUUCCUGUCCAACGUUAAUCGGGGCAGGGUGAGUCGACCCCUAAGGCGAGGCCGAAAGGCGUAGUCGAUGGGAAACAGGUUAAUAUUCCUGUACUUGGUGUUACUGCGAAGGGGGGACGGAGAAGGCUAUGUUGGCCGGGCGACGGUUGUCCCGGUUUAAGCGUGUAGGCUGGUUUUCCAGGCAAAUCCGGAAAAUCAAGGCUGAGGCGUGAUGACGAGGCACUACGGUGCUGAAGCAACAAAUGCCCUGCUUCCAGGAAAAGCCUCUAAGCAUCAGGUAACAUCAAAUCGUACCCCAAACCGACACAGGUGGUCAGGUAGAGAAUACCAAGGCGCUUGAGAGAACUCGGGUGAAGGAACUAGGCAAAAUGGUGCCGUAACUUCGGGAGAAGGCACGCUGAUAUGUAGGUGAGGUCCCUUGCGGAUGGAGCUGAAAUCAGUCGAAGAUACCAGCUGGCUGCAACUGUUUAUUAAAAACACAGCACUGUGCAAACACGAAAGUGGACGUAUACGGUGUGACGCCUGCCCGGUGCCGGAAGGUUAAUUGAUGGGGUCAGCGCAAGCGAAGCUCUUGAUCGAAGCCCCGGUAAACGGCGGCCGUAACUAUAACGGUCCUAAGGUAGCGAAAUUCCUUGUCGGGUAAGUUCCGACCUGCACGAAUGGCGUAAUGAUGGCCAGGCUGUCUCCACCCGAGACUCAGUGAAAUUGAACUCGCUGUGAAGAUGCAGUGUACCCGCGGCAAGACGGAAAGACCCCGUGAACCUUUACUAUAGCUUGACACUGAACAUUGAGCCUUGAUGUGUAGGAUAGGUGGGAGGCUUUGAAGUGUGGACGCCAGUCUGCAUGGAGCCGACCUUGAAAUACCACCCUUUAAUGUUUGAUGUUCUAACGUUGACCCGUGAUCCGGGUUGCGGACAGUGUCUGGUGGGUAGUUUGACUGGGGCGGUCUCCUCCUAAAGAGUAACGGAGGAGCACGAAGGUUGGCUAAUCCUGGUCGGACAUCAGGAGGUUAGUGCAAUGGCAUAAGCCAGCUUGACUGCGAGCGUGACGGCGCGAGCAGGUGCGAAAGCAGGUCAUAGUGAUCCGGUGGUUCUGAAUGGAAGGGCCAUCGCUCAACGGAUAAAAGGUACUCCGGGGAUAACAGGCUGAUACCGCCCAAGAGUUCAUAUCGACGGCGGUGUUUGGCACCUCGAUGUCGGCUCAUCACAUCCUGGGGCUGAAGUAGGUCCCAAGGGUAUGGCUGUUCGCCAUUUAAAGUGGUACGCGAGCUGGGUUUAGAACGUCGUGAGACAGUUCGGUCCCUAUCUGCCGUGGGCGCUGGAGAACUGAGGGGGGCUGCUCCUAGUACGAGAGGACCGGAGUGGACGCAUCACUGGUGUUCGGGUUGUCAUGCCAAUGGCACUGCCCGGUAGCUAAAUGCGGAAGAGAUAAGUGCUGAAAGCAUCUAAGCACGAAACUUGCCCCGAGAUGAGUUCUCCCUGAC